Molecule: ribosomal RNA, 495 nt
Filed under: uncultured bacterium
Lineage: Bacteria
Description: partial 16S ribosomal RNA
Rfam family: Bacterial small subunit ribosomal RNA
Source: RNAcentral
GAUGAACGCUGGCGGCGUGCCUAAUACAUGCAAGUCGAGCGAACGGACGAGAAGCUUGCUUCUCUGGUGUUAGCGGCGGACGGGUGAGUAACACGUGGAUAACCUACCUAUAAGACUGGGAUAACUUCGGGAAACCGGAGCUAAUACCGGAUAAUAUUUUGAACCGCAUGGUUCAAAAGUGAAAGACGGUCUUGCUGUCACUUAUAGAUGGAUCCGCGCUGCAUUAGCUAGUUGGUAAGGUAACGGCUUACCAAGGCAACGAUGCAUAGCCGACCUGAGAGGGGGAUCGGCCACACUGGAACUGAGACACGGUCCAGACUCCUACGGGAGGCAGCAGUAGGGAAUCUUCCGCAAUGGGCGAAAGCCUGACGGAGCAACGCCGCGUGAGUGAUGAAGGUCUUCGGAUCGUAAAACUCUGUUAUUAGGGAAGAACAUAUGUGUAAGUAACUGUGCACAUCUUGACGGUACCUAAUCAGAAAGCCACGGCUAACUACG